GACGAAGAACGUAGCGAAAUGCGAUACUUGGUGUGAAUUGCAGAAUCCCGUGAACCAUCGAGUCUUUGAACGCAAGUUGCGCCCGAAGCCAUUAGGCCGAGGGCACGCCUGCCUGGGCGUCACACGUCGUUGCCCCCCCAUCUACUCCUUCGGGAUUGCGGGGGGCGGAUGAUGGCCUCCCGUGCGCCUCGUCGCGCGGUUGGCAUAAAUGCCAAGUCCUCGGCGACGCACGCCACGACAAUCGGUGGUUGCGAAACCUCGGUUGCCCGUCGUGUGCGGUCGUCGCGCAUCGAGGGCUCGAAAAAAUUGCCGGGCUCCGGCUCGGCUUUCAACGCGACCCCAGGUCAGGCGGGGUUACCCGCUGAAUUUAAGCAUAUCAAUAAGCGGAGGA
Molecule: unclassified non-coding RNA, 391 nt
Filed under: soil metagenome
Description: partial contains 5.8S ribosomal RNA, internal transcribed spacer 2, and large subunit ribosomal RNA
Rfam family: 5.8S ribosomal RNA (bases 1-122)
Source: RNAcentral